UUUAUGGAGAGUUUGAUCCUGGCUCAGGACUAACGCUGGCGGCGUGCCUAAUACAUGCAAGUCGAACGGUCAUGCAUUUGUAGCAAUAUGAGUGCAUGGUAGUGGCGAACGGGUGAGUAACACGUGGAUAACCUACCUUUAUGUGGGGGAUAACUCCGGGAAACUGGGGCUAAUACCGCAUGACAUCAUUCUGGGGCAUCUCAGGAUGAUCAAAGUCGUAAGACGCAAAAAGAUGGAUCCGCGUCCCAUCAGCUAGUUGGCGGGGUAAUGGCCCACCAAGGCUUUGACGGGUAGCCGGACUGAGAGGUCGAUCGGCCACAAGGGGACUGAGACACGGCCCCUACUCCUACGGGAGGCAGCAGUAGGGAAUUUUGGUCAAUGGGGGAAACCCUGAACCAGCGACGCCGCGUGGGUGAUGAAAUCCUUCGGGAUGUAAAACCCUUUUCAUCGGGACGAAAUAAAAAUGACGGUACCGGUGGAAUAAGCCUCGGCUAACUCCGUGCCAGCAGCCGCGGUAAUACGGGGGAGGCAAGCGUUGUCCGGAAUCACUGGGUGUAAAGGGCGUGUAGGCGGGCCUUUAAGUCGAUCUGUUAAAUCUCUCC
Molecule: ribosomal RNA, 602 nt
Filed under: bacterium
Lineage: Bacteria
Description: bacterial SSU rRNA
Rfam family: Bacterial small subunit ribosomal RNA
Source: RNAcentral